RNAcentral lists this ribosomal RNA (462 nucleotides) under uncultured bacterium. RNAcentral describes it as "partial 16S ribosomal RNA". It matches the Rfam family "Bacterial small subunit ribosomal RNA", at positions 28 to 507 of the family's 1533-position model. The record is from RNAcentral.
GACGAACGCUGGCGGCGUGCUUAACACAUGCAAGUCGAACGGUAAGGCCCUUCGGGGUACACGAGUGGCGAACGGGUGAGUCACACGUGGGUAAUCUGCCCUGCACUUCGGGAUAAGCCUGGGAAACUGGGUCUAAUACCGGAUAUUCAGUUCCUGCCGCAUGGUGGGGGUUGGAAAGUUUUUCGGUGCAGGAUGAGCCCGCGGCCUAUCAGCUUGUUGGUGGGGUAAUGGCCUACCAAGGCGACGACGGGUAGCCGGCCUGAGAGGGUGAUCGGCCACACUGGGACUGAGACACGGCCCAGACUCCUACGGGAGGCAGCAGUGGGGAAUAUUGCACAAUGGGCGAAAGCCUGAUGCAGCGACGCCGCGUGAGGGAUGACGGUCUUCGGAUUGUAAACCCCUUUCAGUAGGGACGAAGCGCAAGUGACGGUACCUGCAGAAGAAGCACCGGCCAACUACGUG